CUUGGUCAUUUAGAGGAAGUAACGGUCGUAACAAGGUCUCCGUAGGUGAACCUGCGGAGGGAUCAUUACAAGUGACCCCGGUCUAACCACCGGGAUGUCCAUAACCCUUUGUUGUCCGACUCUGUUGCCUCCGGGGCGACCCUGCCUUCGGGCGGGGCGGGGGCACGGGGGGACACUUCAAACUCUUGCGUAACUUUGCAGUCUGAGUAAACUUAAUUAAUAAAUUAAAACUUUUAACAACGGAUCUCUUAGUUCUGGCAUCGAUGAAGAACGCAGC
This 277-nucleotide ribosomal RNA is filed under the name Cladosporium sp. lz1. Its description in RNAcentral is "partial 18S ribosomal RNA". The stretch from base 1 to 68 matches the Rfam family "Eukaryotic small subunit ribosomal RNA", at positions 1764 to 1831 of the family's 1831-position model. Lineage: Eukaryota; Fungi; Ascomycota; Dothideomycetes; Cladosporiales; Cladosporiaceae. The record is from RNAcentral.